RNAcentral lists this ribosomal RNA (1007 nucleotides) under Tetragnatha nitens. Its description in RNAcentral is "16S ribosomal RNA". The record is from RNAcentral. Lineage: Eukaryota; Metazoa; Arthropoda; Arachnida; Araneae; Tetragnathidae.
UUAUAAGAAUCUUCUAAUAAUAAAUUAUUAUUAUCUCUGUAAAGAUAUUUAUUACUUUUACAAAAGUAAAAUAUUAUACCUUUAGUAUCAGGGUUAAUCAAUAUGAUUGAUUUUUCCUCUUUCUUGAAAAGAAGAGAACUAAAAAUUUUUACAAAAUUAUGUUUCAUUAUAAUAAAAAUCAAUUUUUAGCAAUUAGACUUUUACCGAACUUCUUGAUAUCCAGUAUUUUUUUUACCAAAAAUUUGGGAAAAAUAAUGUAUAAAAUAUGUUAUAAAUUUAAAUUAUCUUACCUUUAUUACUAUUUUAAAAAUAAGAUUUUUUAAAAAACUUAAUAGUUAUAAUUAUUAAAUAAUCCGACUUUUAUUAAAAAAAAAUAAUUUUUAAUUAAUUAAUUAUGAUUAAAUAAGUAUAUUUAUAAUUGAAAUACAAGAACUUGGCUUAAUAAGAAAUGACUGUUUAUCAAAAACAUUUUUCUAAAAUUCCUUUAGAAUAAAGCCUGCUCAAUGAAAUUUUAAUAGCCGCAGAAAUUUAACUGUGCUAAGGUAGCAUAAUCAUUUGUCUUUUAAUUGAAGACUAGAAUGAAAGGCUAAACAUUUUCUUUUCUAUUUUUAUAUUCACCCAUUAUAAAAAUUAUAUUAAAUAUAAAAAUAUAUUUAUACAAAAAUUAGACGACAAGACCCUUUCAAACUUUACUUAAGUUUAGCUGGGGAAGCUAUAUAAUUAUAAUCUUAUUUUGAUAAAAAUAUCACGACCCAAUUUUAAUUGAUAAAAUGAUCAAGUUACUGAAGGGAUAACAGCAUAAUAAAUUUUUAUAGCUCUUAUAAAAAAAUUAGUUUAUGACCUCGAUGUUGAAUUAUUUUACUUUUAACCGCAAGAGGCUAAAAAGUAGGUCUGUUCGACCUUUAAUAUUUUACAUGAUUUGAGUUCAAAUCGGUGUAAACCAGAUUGGAUUCUAUCUAUUUAUAUAUUUUCUUUUAGUACGAAAGGGCCAAAGAAUAAUUUUAUUA